This 1928-nucleotide long non-coding RNA is filed under the name Zonotrichia albicollis (white-throated sparrow). RNAcentral describes it as "lncRNA (ENSZALG00000006507.1)". The record is from RNAcentral. Lineage: Eukaryota; Metazoa; Chordata; Aves; Passeriformes; Passerellidae.
CUGUAAUACUGCAUCAUGGGAGCUCAGGGCUUUAAGAAUAGCAUCUUUCCUAUUCACAUCAGACCAUUCAGCAUGUAAUCUUUUUAUCUCCUGCUGCAAAUACUUCUUGUGAUCCCAUCUUCAUCUGCUGGGUAUGUCCCACACCUCACACCUUUCCAUCUGUUGGCAUGGCUCUGUACAAAUAGCAGAUAAGACAGAGUAAUUAGGUGGAGGGGCAAGAGGAGCUCCAUGAGGGGUGAAGCUCAUAGCCCUGCAGUCCCAAACAUCAUGGGCAGGGCACAGCUGCAAAGAGGAACUGUCACCAGGCAUGGGACUGACUGCCUGUCAGUCUGCUGCAGUUGUGGAGGCCAAGAGAAGCAAAGGUCACAGGAAGCUCUACCAAGAAGCUGCCAAACAAGAAUCAGGCCCUUCUAGGGCAAAUGGUGAUAAACCAUUUGCCACCACCACUCCAGAUCUGGAUGGUCUUACAGACUCAGAAGAAUUCAGUUCACAUUUGGGUUUGCAAAGGGAGUCUGUCCAACAGGCACAGGAAUACCUUCAGGCUGAUUAUUCCUCUUCCUCACUGUAAUCAGGAGAAGGCAUCUAGCUGAUGCAGAAAAAUCAUGUUUGGUUCAGCUCACAGAGCUGUAUGAAAAAGUCUGUGCUCCCUGUAAGCCACUCAUGCACCUCAUGGCUCAGAAGAAAGACUGUGGUUCUAGCAAGAGGACCCAUCCCUUUGAACAAAUCACCUGCUGUUUUUAGCCCAGACACUGAGACAGAGAAGUACACCAAAUGAAAUAACAGAUGAAACACAGAUGUGGAAACCAAGACAACCGAGAACUGAUGGAGUUCAAAUGACAGAAAUAACCCUAACAGAUCAAUACCAGACUAGGCAGCCUGGAAGAACGUGUGGUCUCAAAUACUCGUCUAUCAGACUGAGAGCAGAAGUUACUUUCAUUUCAGAAAUGAUGAAGUCAUUCACAUGCCAGCUAUAAAACACAAAUGCCAGACCCUUGGCAUUGUGCAGCUACCUGACAAAGGCAUUAAGUUAGUUGGACUCAUUUGAAGCACAAAUCUUUUUAUAUUUUCAAAACACCAAGAGCUGUGCAAGUAUUCAGGCUGCCAUGGCAACGUGGUACAUUUGUUCCUGAGUGUCAUUUCCCAUCACAAUUGGUUGGGAUUUUUCUUCAGAACUUUGCCCAACUUCAAAACUUUGGUUGCUGAGGCAACACCUCUCUUUGAAGGGAAGUGAUUGGCUCUGCCAAUCCGUGCCAAGGCAAGGGCUCUUCUGUGGAGACCGGUGUGCUACGGCAAGGGCGGAGGCGUUAGGGAGACUACAAAGAUAUCCAGGGAAGCAGGGGCAGAGGAAGGAAGUGUGCUCAGAAGGGCAACACACACCUUCAUGUGAGGCAGGUGGGAUGGGCUCUGAGUGGGAGGCUCCAGGCUUAGUACAACGAGCUAAUGUGCCACAUUACAUCAGUGAGGAGAUUAAGUGAGAUCUCGUUGAGAAAACACUUUGCCUUUGAUAUAUCCCGUGAGGAUCUGGUGGAGAUGCAUAGUCCUCACAAGACCUCGGCAAGAAAGGAAUUUGUCACUGGGCUUGUUUGACAAAAAAAUUGAUGGAGGCAAUGAAUGAACUACUGAAGGUCAUGCAGUAAAUUAGUGGCUGAUACAGGAAUAAGCCCCUGGGGGUGUUAUGUUUCAUUUGUAAGAUCAUCAUUUCUCUGAUAUUUAACUUAUGCUUAAACAGAAAACAAUUUUCCUUCUGCAGAGAAGCGCUGCAACCCCUUUUUCUCUCACUAACAUAUUACAGUGCUCACCUCUGCUAUUUGUCAACGUAUUUGGCUGAAAAGCACUGAGCAGGGAUUACUUUCUUUCCAGAUAGCGAGGCAAGGAUCCGGACUGUCCCUGACAUCCUGCUGCAAUAAAUGUGAUUACACCAAUGAGCA